GACGAACGCUGGCGGCGUGCUUAACACAUGCAAGUCGAACGGAAAGGCCCUGCUUUUGUUGUGUGCUCGAGUGGCGAACGGGUGAGUAACACGUGAGUAACCUGCCCUUGACUUUGGGAUAACUUCAGGAAACUGGGGCUAAUACCGGAUAGGAGCUCCUGCUGCAUGGUGUGGGUUGGAAAGUUUCGGCGGUUGGGGAUGGACUCGCGGCUUAUCAGCUUGUUGGUGGGGUAGUGGCUUACCAAGGCUUUGACGGGUAGCCGGCCUGAGAGGGUGACCGGCCACAUUGGGACUGAGAUACGGCCCAGACUCCUACGGGAGGCAGCAGUGGGGAAUAUUGCACAAUGGGCGGAAGCCUGAUGCAGCAACGCCGCGUGCGGGAUGACGGCCUUCGGGUUGUAAACCGCUUUCGCCUGUGACGAAGCGUGAGUGACGGUAAUGUGUAAAGAAGCACCGGCUAACUACGUG
This 468-nucleotide ribosomal RNA is filed under the name uncultured bacterium. RNAcentral describes it as "partial 16S ribosomal RNA". It matches the Rfam family "Bacterial small subunit ribosomal RNA", at positions 28 to 507 of the family's 1533-position model. The record is from RNAcentral.